UGGGGAAUAUUGGGCAAUGGCCGAAAGGCUGACCCAGCGACGCCGCGUGGGGGAUGAAGCCCUUCGGGGUGUAAACCCCUUUUCUGGGGGAAGAUAAUGACGGUACCCCAGGUAUAAGGGACGGCCAACUACGGGCCAGCAGCCGCGGUCAUACGAAGGUCCCGAACGUUGGGCGAAAUUACUGGGCGUAACGGGGCCGUAGGCGGUCUGGGAAGUGGAAGGCGAAAUCCUACGGCUCAACCGGAGAUU
RNAcentral lists this ribosomal RNA (249 nucleotides) under uncultured bacterium. RNAcentral describes it as "partial 16S ribosomal RNA". It matches the Rfam family "Bacterial small subunit ribosomal RNA", at positions 355 to 621 of the family's 1533-position model. The record is from RNAcentral.